Daphnia pulex (common water flea) is the source of this 707-nucleotide long non-coding RNA. RefSeq lists it as uncharacterized. The record is from RefSeq and is a predicted model, not a curated record. NCBI's taxonomy places the organism in Eukaryota, Metazoa, Arthropoda, Branchiopoda, Diplostraca, Daphniidae. The transcript has 3 exons.
GCGAAACGCGAAACGCGAAACGCCUAAAAUGCGGAAAAGCUGUGCGAAACGGACCCAAAAGUUGGGACCCUGUUUCGCAUUUUAGGCCUUGGGUCCGUACUAAAAUGCGAAAUCGGUGGGUGCGAAACGUCAACAGAACGUCAACAGACGACGCCAUUAACAUACGUACUUGCGUCACAAAAAUCUACUCGUCAAGAUAAAAACACCUUGCCUUCGAGUUAGUUUAUCCUAGUUUCUGUUUUGUAUAUAAUUCGUUAAAUUAAAAGGAUAUUACAGUUUUGUGUAUUUACCUAUUGUAUUCAUGAUUUUGAUUUGUGAUUCACGUUAUUUGCCAUUCAAUCACCGCAAUACUUCUUAAACUUGAUAAUUAAAGUCAUGGGAGAUGUCCACUUCAUGAAACUCGCUUUGUCGUUUUGCUGAAGUAAGCUGUCUUUCUGCAAAGAAAUAAAUGAGAGUAAAGAAAAAACUUCCCAAUGUGAGGUGACAUGAUGUUUCACCUGAUACAUUGUAACCUACAUUCUCUGAGCAAUAAUUUGGUUAUCCCUGUCAUAGAAAACCUUGGUGGAAUUCUGAGAGUGGUAAUAGUUCCAUAGCUCAUGCUGCCCAAGUAAUAGUGUGGAGCAGGCGUAUCUGUGCUUUACUUUUGCUACAAGCGCUAGAAGAUUGGCAUCACAAAUCAAAUCUUUGUAUUUUCAAUCUACAAUUCA